Molecule: transfer RNA, 75 nt
Filed under: Candidatus Dormiibacterota bacterium
Lineage: Bacteria; Bacillati; Candidatus Dormiibacterota
Also listed under: 6 other names
Description: tRNA-Lys
Rfam family: tRNA
About the family: Transfer RNA (tRNA) molecules are approximately 80 nucleotides in length. Their secondary structure includes four short double-helical elements and three loops (D, anti-codon, and T loops).
Source: RNAcentral
GCCGCCAUGGCGCAGUGGUAGCGCAGGGGCCUUUUAAGCCCAGGGUCGCAGGUUCGAAUCCUGCUGGCGGCACCA